GGGUCAAUGAUGUAAUCUUUGUCUUGACUCAAGUGAGGUGUUUUCUUAAAAGUCUUCUGCAAUAGAAUUAUAGUGAGGACU
Molecule: small nucleolar RNA, 81 nt
Filed under: Carlito syrichta (Philippine tarsier)
Lineage: Eukaryota; Metazoa; Chordata; Mammalia; Primates; Tarsiidae
Description: Small nucleolar RNA SNORD115 (ENSTSYG00000034563.1)
Rfam family: Small nucleolar RNA SNORD115
About the family: HBII-52 is a member of the C/D class of snoRNAs, which contain the C (UGAUGA) and D (CUGA) box motifs. HBII-52 is encoded in a tandemly repeated array with another C/D snoRNA, HBII-85, in the Prader-Willi syndrome (PWS) region of chromosome 15.
Source: Rfam by way of RNAcentral